UACGAAGGGUGCAAGCGUUAAUCGGAAUUACUGGGCGUAAAGCGUGCGUAGGCGGUUGGCUAAGUCAGAUGUGAAAGCCCUGGGCUCAACCUGGGAAUGGCAUUUGAAACUGGCGAGCUAGAGUGUGAUAGAGGAUGGCGGAAUUCCCAGUGUAGAGGUGAAAUUCGUAGAUAUUGGGAAGAACACCGAUGGCGAAGGCAGCCAUCUGGACCGACACUGACGCUGAGGCGCGAAAGCAUGGGGAGCAAACAGG
Molecule: ribosomal RNA, 253 nt
Filed under: uncultured bacterium
Lineage: Bacteria
Description: partial 16S ribosomal RNA
Rfam family: Bacterial small subunit ribosomal RNA
Source: RNAcentral